This 390-nucleotide unclassified non-coding RNA is filed under the name soil metagenome. Its description in RNAcentral is "partial contains 5.8S ribosomal RNA, internal transcribed spacer 2, and large subunit ribosomal RNA". The stretch from base 1 to 122 matches the Rfam family "5.8S ribosomal RNA", at positions 35 to 154 of the family's 154-position model. The record is from RNAcentral.
GAUGAAGAACGCAGCGAAAUGCGAUACUUGGUGUGAAUUGCAGAAUCCCGUGAACCAUCGAGUCUUUGAACGCAAGUUGCGCCCGAAGCCAUUAGGCCGAGGGCACGCCUGCCUGGGCGUCACACGUCGUUGCCCCCCCAUCUACUCCUUCGGGAUUGCGGGGGGCGGAUGAUGGCCUCCCGUGCGCCUCGUCGCGCGGUUGGCCUAAAUGCCAAGUCCUCGGCGACGCACGCCACGACAAUCGGUGGUUGCGAAACCUCGGUUGCCUGUCGUGUGCGGUCGUCGCGCAUCGAGGGCUCGAAAAAAUUGCCGGGCUUCGGCUCGACUUUCAACGCGACCCCAGGUCAGGCGGGGUUACCCGCUGAAUUUAAGCAUAUCAAUAAGCGGGGA